UCAAGUUAUUAAGGGUGCAGGGCGGAUGCCUUGGCACUAGGAGCCGAUGAAGGACGUGAUAAGCUGCGAUAAGCUUCGGGGAGUUGCACGUAAACUUUGAUCCGAAGAUUUCCGAAUGAGGAAACUCACUUAGAGUAAUGUCUAAGUAUCAUUAAGUGAAUACAUAGCUUAAUGAGGGGAACUCAGGGAACUGAAACAUCUAAGUACCUGAAGGAAGAGAAAGAAAUUCGAUUCCGUAAGUAGCGGCGAGCGAACGCGGAUUAGCCCAAACCAAUAAAGUUUUCUUUAUUGGGGUUGCGGACAUAUCAUAACGAAGAGGUAUCGUAAUUGAAGAGGUUUGGAAAGACCCACCACAGAAGGUAAUAGUCCUGUAUGUUAAACGAGAAGACUUUAGAUAUGAUCCAGAGUACCACGGGACACGUGAAACCCUGUGGGAAGCAGGAGGGACCACCCUCCAAGGCUAAAUACUACCUAGUGACCGAUAGCGUAUAGUACCGUGAGGGAAAGGUGAAAAGAACCCCGGGAGGGGAGUGAAAUAGAACCUGAAACCCUGCACUUACAAGCUGUGGAAGCACAUUUCUUGUGUGACCGCGUACUUUUUGUAGAACGGGCCAACGAGUUACGUUAAGUAGCAAGGUUAAGCACUUAAGGUGUGGAGCCGUAGCGAAAGCGAGUUUUAACUGAGCGUUCAGUUACUUGACGUAGACCCGAAACCGGGCGACCUACCCAUGAGCAGGAUGAAGCGAAAGUAAAAUUUCGUGGAGGUCCGAACCCACGAGCGUUGAAAAGCUCGGGGAUGACUUGUGGGUAGCGGUGAAAUUCCAAUCGAGCCCGGAGAUAGCUGGUUCUCCCCGAAAUAGCUUUAGGGCUAGCCUCAAGGUGAGAGAUACGGAGGUAGAGCACUGAAUGUCCUAGGGGGUAUUGCACCUACCGAAGACUAUCAAACUCCGAAUGCCGUCAUCUUAUACUUGGGAGUCAGACUGUGGGUGAUAAGAUUCAUAGUCGAAAGGGCAACAGCCCAGAUCGUCAGCUAAGGUCCCUAAAUGUAAGUUAAGUGGUAAAGGAUGUGGGAUUGCACAGACAACCAGGAUGUUGGCUUAGAAGCAGCCACUCAUUCAAAGAGUGCGUAAUAGCUCACUGGUCGAGUGAUCCUGCGCCGAAGAUUUCCGGGGCUAAAACUUACUACCGAAGCUACGGCAUCAGUAAUGAUGGGUAGGGGAGCUUCCCAUACGGGUUGAAGCAUGACCGUAAGGACAUGUGGACAGUAUGGGAGUGAGAAUGUUGGCAUGAGUAGCGAGAUGUGGGUGAGAAUCCCACAGGCCGUAAACCCAAGGUUUCCAGGGGAAGGUUCGUCCGCCCUGGGUUAGUCGGGACCUAAGCUGAGGCCGAAAGGCGUAGGUGAUGGACAACAGGUUGAUAUUCCUGUACUACCGAUAACCGUUUGAGAGAAGGGAUGACACAGUAGGAUAAGCUAAGCACACUGUUGGUUAUGUGUGCCCAAGCAUUGAGGCAGUCAAAGUAGGCAAAUCCGCUUUGAUAAUGCUGGGAUGUGAUGGGGAGCGAAAUUUAGUAGCGAAGUAGCUGAUUUCACACUGUCAAGAAAAGUCUCUAUCGAGGUUAAAGGUACCCGUACCGCAAACCGACACAGGUGGGUGAGGAGAGUAUCCUAAGGCCAGCGAGAGAACUGUUGUUAAGGAACUCGGCAAAAUGACCCCGUAACUUAGGGAUAAGGGGUGCCACCAUCAGGUGGCCGCAGAGAAUAGGCCCAAGCGACUGUUUACCAAAAACAUAGGUUUCUGCUAAGUCGCAAGACGAUGUAUAGGAGCUGACGCCUGCCCGGUGCUGGAAGGUUAAGGGGAUCUGUUAGAGCAAUCGAAGCAGUGAACUUAAGCCCCAGUAAACGGCGGCCGUAACUAUAACGGUCCUAAGGUAGCGAAAUUCCUUGUCGGGUAAGUUCCGACCCGCACGAAAGGCGUAACGAUUUGGGCACUGUCUCAACAACAGACUCGGUGAAAUUGUAAUUCCGGUGAAGAUGCCGGAUACCUGCGACAGGACGGAAAGACCCCAUGGAGCUUUACUGUAGCUUGACAUUGGGUCUUGGUACUACAUGUACAGGAUAGGUGGGAGGCUUUGAAACCAGGACGCCAGUUUUGGCGGAGCCAUCCUUGGGAUACCACCCUUGUAGUACUGGGACUCUAACCAUAGGCCAUGAAUCUGGUCUUGGGACACUGUCAGGUGGGCAGUUUGACUGGGGCGGUCGCCUCCCAAAAGGUAACGGAGGCGCUCAAAGGUUCUCUCAGUACGGUCGGAAAUCGUACGUAGAGUGUAAAGGCAAAAGAGAGCUUGAUUGCAAGACAUACAGGUCGAGCAAGGAUGAAAAUCGGACUUAGUGAUCCGGUGGUUCUGCGUGGAAGGGCCAUCGCUCAACGGAUAAAAGCUACCCUGGGGAUAACAGGCUUAUCUCCCCCAAGAGUCCACAUCGACGGGGAGGUUUGGCACCUCGAUGUCGGCUCAUCACAUCCUGGGGCUGUAGUAGGUCCCAAGGGUUGGGCUGUUCGCCCAUUAAAGUGGUACGCGAGCUGGGUUCAGAACGUCGUGAGACAGUUCGGUCCCUAUCCGUCGCAGGCGUAGGAAAUUUGAGAAGACCUGUCCUUAGUACGAGAGGACCGGGAUGGACGUACCUCUGGUGUACCAGUUGU
RNAcentral lists this ribosomal RNA (2699 nucleotides) under Clostridioides difficile. Its description in RNAcentral is "bacterial LSU rRNA". It matches the Rfam family "Bacterial large subunit ribosomal RNA". Lineage: Bacteria; Bacillati; Bacillota; Clostridia; Peptostreptococcales; Peptostreptococcaceae. The record is from RNAcentral.